Molecule: long non-coding RNA, 922 nt
Filed under: Homo sapiens (human)
Lineage: Eukaryota; Metazoa; Chordata; Mammalia; Primates; Hominidae
Description: HSALNT0396100
Source: RNAcentral
GGCUCCUCAUCCUUCAAACAGGUCACAGCAGGGAAAGAGAACAGGCAUGAAGAUCUGGGAGAGUUGGUGUAUACAUUUAUUGAAGCCUUUACUUCAUGCCAGGUGCUAGAAUGAUCUAGAAUCUUCACUCCCAUGCUUAGAGAGCUACUGGGCUAAGAAAAUGUGGUCCAUAGGCUGGGCGCAGUGGCUUGCACCUGUAAUCCCAGCACUUUGGGAGGCCGAGGCGGGCAGAUUACCUGAAGUCAGGAGUUGGAGACCAGCCUGGCCAACAUGGUGAAACCCCGUCACUACUAAAAAUACAAAAAUUAACCGGGAGUGGUGGCACAUGCCUGUAAUCCCAGCUACCUGGGAGGCUGAGGCAGGAGAAUUGCUUGAGCCCAGGAGAUGGAGGUUGCAGUGAGCCAAGAUCAUGCCAUUGCACUCCAGCCUGGCUGAUGGGGCAAGACUCUGUCAAGAAAAGAAAGAGAGAAAGAAAGAAAGAGAAAGAAAGAAAGAAAGAGAGAGAGGGAGGGAGGGAGGGAAGGAAGGAAGGAAGGAAGAAAGAAAGAAAAGAAGGACAGAAGGAAAGAAGGAAGGAAGGAAGGAAGGAAAAUGUGGUCCAUCUAAAAGACAGAGCUUUAUCAAAGUCAUUGCCACCUGCUCUGAAAGGUUGUGCUAAGAAGGAAAUACAGGCCAGGCACAGUGACUCACACCUGUAAUCUCAGCACUUCAGGAGGCUGAGGCGGGCAGAUCACAUGGUCAAGAGAUCGAGAUCAUCCUGGCCAACAUGGUGAAACUCUGUCUCAAAAAAAUAAAUAAAUAAAUAAAAUAACCUCCAUCUUUUGGUGGCCCCUUUACUGGCCUUAUUUCACUCAAUUGUUAGGACACCUUGUCUCUGUGAGAUGGGGCCUGCAAGGCCCAUUCACCAGAUAAAAAAUCUUGG